Molecule: microRNA precursor, 67 nt
Filed under: Cordylochernes scorpioides
Lineage: Eukaryota; Metazoa; Arthropoda; Arachnida; Pseudoscorpiones; Chernetidae
Source: RNAcentral
CUGUACUAUUCUACAACUCUGACCAUUGAAUAUCACAGCAAUGGCUAGUGAUGUAGAUUAUCUACAG